Molecule: ribosomal RNA, 253 nt
Filed under: uncultured bacterium
Lineage: Bacteria
Description: partial 16S ribosomal RNA
Rfam family: Bacterial small subunit ribosomal RNA
Source: RNAcentral
UACGUAGGGUGCAAGCGUUAAUCGGAAUUACUGGGCGUAAAGCGUGCGCAGGCGGUUCGCUAAGUCCGAUGUGAAAUCCCCGGGCUUAACCUGGGAACUGCAUUGGUGACUGGCGGGCUAGAGUAUGGCAGAGGGGGGUAGAAUUCCACGUGUAGCAGUGAAAUGCGUAGAGAUGUGGAGGAAUACCGAUGGCGAAGGCAGCCCCCUGGGCCAAUACUGACGCUCAUGCACGAAAGCGUGGGGAGCAAACAGG